This 434-nucleotide ribosomal RNA is filed under the name uncultured bacterium. Its description in RNAcentral is "partial 16S ribosomal RNA". It matches the Rfam family "Bacterial small subunit ribosomal RNA", at positions 29 to 507 of the family's 1533-position model. The record is from RNAcentral.
AGCGAACGCUGGCGGCAGGCCUAACACAUGCAAGUCGAACGAACCUUUCGGGGUUAGUGGCGGACGGGUGAGUAACACGUGGGAACGUGCCUUUAGGUUCGGAAUAACUCAGGGAAACUUGUGCUAAUACCGAAUGUGCCCUUCAGGGGAAAGAUUAAUCGCCUUUAGAGCGGCCCGCGUCUGAUUAGCUAGUUGGUUGAGGUAAUGGCUCACCAAGGCGACGAUCAGUAGCUGGUCUGAGAGGAUGAUCAGCCACAUUGGGACUGAGACACGGCCCAAACUCCUACGGGAGGCAGCAGUGGGGAAUCUUGCGCAAUGGGCGAAAGCCUGACGCAGCCAUGCCGCGUGAAUGAUGAAGGUCUUAGGAUUGUAAAAUUCUUUCACCGGGGACGAUAAUGACGGUACCCGGAGAAGAAGCCCCGGCUAACUUCGUG